GAUGAACGCUAGCGGCAGGCCUAAUACAUGCAAGCCGAGGGCUGUCUGUGUAGCAAUACACAGAUGACCGGCGGACGGGUGCGUAACGCGUACGCAACCUACCCUAUACAGGAGGAUAGCUCCCGGAAACGGGAAUUAAUACUCCAUAGUAAUUAAGCGAGGCAUCUUGCUUAGUUUAAGGUCGCGAGACGGUAUAGGAUGGGCGUGCGUCCGAUUAGCUAGUUGGUGAGGUAACGGCUCACCAAGGCGAUGAUCGGUAGGGGUUCUUAAAGAAAAUCCCCCACACGGGCACUGAAACACGGGCCCCACUCCUACGGGAGGCAGCANUAAGGAAUAUUGGACAAUGGGUGCAAGCCUGAUCCAGCCAUGCCGCGUGGAGGAAAAGUCCUAUGGAUUGUAAACUCCUUUUGCAGGGGAGAAAUAAAUCCGAUUAAUCCGA
RNAcentral lists this ribosomal RNA (439 nucleotides) under uncultured bacterium. RNAcentral's name for it is "bacterial SSU rRNA". It matches the Rfam family "Bacterial small subunit ribosomal RNA", at positions 28 to 466 of the family's 1533-position model. The record is from RNAcentral.